ACUCAAAUGAAUAGACGGGGACCCGCACAAGCAGUGGAGUAUGUGGUUUAAUUCGAAGCAACGCGAAGAACCUUACCAGGUCUUGACAUCCCAAUGUAAGCAUUAGAGAUAGUGCCCCUCUUCGGAGCAUUGGAGACAGGUGGUGCAUGGUUGUCGUCAGCUCGUGUCGUGAGAUGUUGGGUUAAGUCCCGCAACGAGCGCAACCCUUAUGCUUAGUUGCCAGCACGUUAUGGUGGGCACUCUAAGCAGACUGCCGGUGACAAACCGGAGGAAGGUGGGGAUGACGUCAAAUCAUCAUGCCCCUUAUGACCUGGGCUACACACGUACUACAAUGGCCAGUACAACGGGCUGCGAAACCGCAAGGUGGAGCGAAUCCCAACAAAGCUGGUCUCAGUUCGGAUUGCAGGCUGCAACUCGCCUGCAUGAAGUCGGAAUUGCUAGUAAUCGCGGAUCAGCAUGCCGCGGUGAAUACGUUCCCGGGUCUUGCACACACCGCCCGU
RNAcentral lists this ribosomal RNA (500 nucleotides) under uncultured bacterium. RNAcentral describes it as "partial 16S ribosomal RNA". It matches the Rfam family "Bacterial small subunit ribosomal RNA", at positions 899 to 1397 of the family's 1533-position model. The record is from RNAcentral.